UCCGGUUUAUCACCGGCAGUCCCUGCAGAGUCCUCGGCUUUACCCGGUAGCAACAGCAGGCAAGGGUUGCGCUCGUUGCGGGACUUAACCCAACAUCUCACGACACGAGCUGACGACAGCCAUGCAGCACCUGUGUUCCCGCCAGCCGAACUGAAGAGCUCCAUCUCUGGUGCUCAUACGGGACAUGUCAAGGGUUGGUAAGGUUCUGCGCGUUGCGUCGAAUUGAACCACAUGCUCCACCGCUUGUGCGGGCCCCCGUCAAUUCCCUUGAGUUUUAAUCUUGCGACCGUACUCCCCAGGCGGGAUGCUUAAUGCGUUAGCUGCGCCACUGACGGGUAAACUCGCCAACGGCUAGCAUCCAUCGUUUACGGCGUGGACUAC
RNAcentral lists this unclassified non-coding RNA (381 nucleotides) under uncultured Alphaproteobacteria bacterium. RNAcentral's name for it is "contains 16S-23S intergenic spacer region". The record is from RNAcentral. Lineage: Bacteria; Pseudomonadati; Pseudomonadota; Alphaproteobacteria.